CCUACGGGUGGCAGCAGUGGGGAAUAUUGCACAAUGGGCGCAAGCCUGAUGCAGCCAUGCCGCGUGUGUGAAGAAGGCCUUCGGGUUGUAAAGCACUUUCAGCGGGGAGGAAGGCGGUAAGGUUAAUAACCUUGUCGAUUGACGUUACCCGCAGAAGAAGCACCGGCUAACUCCGUGCCAGCAGCCGCGGUAAUACGGAGGGUGCAAGCGUUAAUCGGAAUUACUGGGCGUAAAGCGCACGCAGGCGGUCUGUCAAGUCGGAUGUGAAAUCCCCGGGCUCAACCUGGGAACUGCAUUCGAAACUGGCAGGCUAGAGUCUUGUAGAGGGGGGUAGAAUGCCAGGUGUAGCGGUGAAAUGCGUAGAGAUCUGGAGGAAUACCGGUGGCGAAGGCGGCCCCCUGGACAAAGACUGACGCUCAGGUGCGAAAGCAUGGGGAGCAAACAGGAUUAGAUACCCGUGUAGUC
RNAcentral lists this ribosomal RNA (465 nucleotides) under uncultured Klebsiella sp. RNAcentral describes it as "bacterial SSU rRNA". It matches the Rfam family "Bacterial small subunit ribosomal RNA", at positions 338 to 795 of the family's 1533-position model. The record is from RNAcentral. Lineage: Bacteria; Pseudomonadati; Pseudomonadota; Gammaproteobacteria; Enterobacterales; Enterobacteriaceae.